AAAACCCCCUAAAACCCGAAGACAAACCCAUUUGAAUAACGAAGCCCGGUGGAGCCUAAUAGCAAGAUAAAAAUAUCCUCAUUGAGCUACCAAACCUAGACGUCUCUCACUUUCUCUCUCUAUUCUCUCCAGCUCUUGCCCUUUUCAUAUUCCAACAAUCCGAUACUUUGUGAACCAAGCAGAACUCGGUUCUAUUGUAAGACAAGCCAUAGAGACAGAGAGAAGAACAUGGAAGAGAGUUUGCUACCAAGACAGGUUGACGAGAAACGGCAGGGUAUUAUUGGUCCCACUCCAACCCCAACAUGGGGUGUAUUCAUUCAAGAAGUGAAAAGACUUGGUUACAUAGCGGGACCAAUGGUGGCUGUGAUUCUAACACAGUACUCCUUGCAAGUAAUAUCCAUGAUGAUGGUUGGUCACCUUGGUGAGCUUGCCCUCUCUAGUGCCGCCAUGGCUCUCUCUCUUUCUGGUGUCACCGGUUUCAGUCCCAUGAUGGGGAUGGCAAGUGCAUUGGAAACCCUAUGCGGGCAGGCUUAUGGAGCUAAGCAAUAUAAAAAACUUGGAACUCAAACUUAUACAGCAAUUUUCUGCCUAAACUUAGUCUGUAUCCCUCUAUCUGUCAUAUGGAUCUACAUGGGAAAGAUACUCCAUUUCACUGGUCAAGAUCCUGCAAUUUCGCAUGAAGCCGGAAAAUUUACAGUGUGGCUUGUUCCUGCACUCUUUGCUUAUGCAACUCUUCAGCCACUUGUUAGAUAUUUUCAGACACAAAGUUUUAUCAUGCCCAUGCUGAUAAGCUCUUGUGCCACUCUUUGUUUCCAUAUACCUCUCUGCUGGGCCUUAGUAUACAAGUCUGGGCUAAAAAAUGUGGGAUCUGCGGUAGCAAUGGGUAUUUCAUAUUGGUUGAAUGUAAUCUUUCUUGGAUUAUACAUAAAGUACUCUUCCGCCUGUGCAAAAACUCGUGUUCCAAUUUCCAAGGAGUUAUUCUACGGGGUCGGAGAGUUUUUCCGCUUCGCCAUCCCAUCUGCAGUAAUGAUCUGCCUUGAGUGGUGGUCAUUUGAGCUGCUUAUCUUGCUCUCAGGGUUCUUACCAAAUCCACAGCUUCAAACUUCAGUCCUAUCUGUGUGUCUCAUGACUAUCUCAACACUUUAUGGGAUACCAUUUGGACUUGGUGCCGCAGCAAGCACUAGAGUCGCAAAUGAACUAGGAGCUGGGAACCCACGAGCAGCGCGUUUAGCUGUCUAUGCUGCGAUGUUUCUUGCAGUUUCAGAGACAAUUAUGGUAACUUCAGCCCUUUUUGCCAGCAGGCGUGUUUUUGGCUAUAUUUUCAGCAAUGAAAAGGAAGUAAUUGAUUAUGUCACAACGAUGGAUCCUCUGGUUUGUCUGUCGGUUAUAAUGGACAGCUUACAAGGAGUACUUUCAGGGGUUGCGAGAGGGUGUGGAUGGCAGCAUAUAGGGGCUUAUAUAAAUCUCGGAGCCUUCUAUCUUUGUGGGAUUCCAGUUGCUGCCUUGUUGGCUUUCUGGUUAAAUUUAGGAGGCAUGGGCCUUUGGAUUGGAAUUCAAAUCGGUGCCUUCACUCAAACAAUUGUACUCUCUAUUGUCACGAGCUGCACAAAUUGGGAAAAACAGGCAAGAAUGGCAAGGGAGAGGAUUUUUGAAGGUCAUGACAAUGGAUUAAUAUGAUUCGAGAGAUAUGACCAGUGAUCUAGUUUUGCUAUGUAUGAGAGAUUGUAAAAGGGGAAAGUCUGAUUAAGCUGAUAAGAUCCUGUGUCAAAAUCCUAUCGACGUUCCGAGGAGGAGAAAAUCUGAGGUUACUCAUUUGUUCUUUGGGUAGUGUGUGUGUGUGUAUCGUAUUUUAAUCCUCUACGUUUUCACCAUAGAAUACUUUGUAUAUCGAGCAAAUCAGCUUUAAGCCUCGAAGUAUCUUCGAGGUAGUAUUUUGUGCACUUGCGUGGGACGAGAUUACUCUUAAACUUUACCUAAUUUUGUUUUUAAGUUUUAAGUUGA
Populus euphratica (Euphrates poplar) is the source of this 2001-nucleotide RNA transcript. It is a transcript of the gene named MATE efflux family protein 9-like, with no coding region annotated. The transcript is spliced from 8 exons. The record is from RefSeq and is a predicted model, not a curated record. Lineage: Eukaryota; Viridiplantae; Streptophyta; Magnoliopsida; Malpighiales; Salicaceae.